UUAUACCAUUGUCGCUCCAAUAUGAUUCGACGACAGAGGAAUCAGAUAAGACAGAUGCACAUGGUGUUGGAACUAGCGUUCAAAUAGCAAAAAACAUACAUGCUGUAAAAGCAUCUCAUGCCUUGUCAAGGCUUAGUGGUUUGGUUGACGAGGAGAUCCCGACACCCUACAAUCAGGCUGCAGCUGAUGCCCUUAGAGCUUUACUAACCAAUAAACUUGCAAGCAUGCUGAAAAUAAAUUAGCAAAAGACCUCCUAUUCACAUUAAACUCAAACUUGGAGUCCCCUGAGUUACAUUUGCUAUACAUGGUGAGAAGACCACGGUGAUGUUCCCGGAAGUGCUUUAGUAUUGGUGUUCCGUGGUGCAGCAUAAGAAUUGGCGGGUGAUGAAUACAGUUGUUGAACAAAACCUUCCAGCCAAAAGGGUAAGAAUAGAUCCAUCCUCAUACACUCUCAUUUAUUAUUUAAAAGGGUAUAUAAUUGAAAUAAUACAUAAGUGGUGUUCACACUUUUAUUAUAGAUAAUAUAAUAAUAUAUAUAACUGUAAAUGAAAAGCAUAUUAAGUUAUUGUGUGUAUUAUAAAUUUGUGAAUGAUUAGCUAUUAUAUUUCUUCAUUUAUGACUGUCGUUAAAUAAUUUUAUAA
This is a non-coding RNA of Sesamum indicum (sesame), 641 nucleotides long. The record is from RefSeq and is a predicted model, not a curated record. Lineage: Eukaryota; Viridiplantae; Streptophyta; Magnoliopsida; Lamiales; Pedaliaceae.